CCGAUCGAUGACGAUGAACUGGCUUCCUACAUCACCGCCGGCCUCGACAUGGAGUACCAGCCUCUCAUCUCCGCCAACGACGCCCGCACCGAGCCCAUCAGCCUCGACGAUCUCUUUGCUCAGAUGAGCAGUUUUGACC
Non-coding RNA from Triticum urartu, 139 nucleotides. Lineage: Eukaryota; Viridiplantae; Streptophyta; Magnoliopsida; Poales; Poaceae. The record is from Rfam.